Molecule: ribosomal RNA, 253 nt
Filed under: uncultured prokaryote
Description: partial 16S ribosomal RNA
Rfam family: Bacterial small subunit ribosomal RNA
Source: RNAcentral
UACGUAGGGGGCAAGCGUUGUUCGGAAUUACUGGGCGUAAAGCGCGUGAAGGCGGUUUGGUAAGUCAGAUGUGAAAGCCCCGGGCUCAACUUGGGAACUGCAUUUGAUACUGUCAGACUAGAGUACAGAAGAGGUGACUGGAAUUCCCAGUGUAGCGGUGAAAUGCGUAGAUAUCGGGAGGAACACCUGUGGCGAAGGCGGCCAUCUGGAAGAUUACUGACGCUGAGACGCGAAAGCGUGGGGAGCAAACAGG